GCCGCCAUCGUCUAGUGGCCUAAGAUACCAGGUUCUCAUCCUGGAGAUCGUGGGUUCGAAUCCCACUGGCGGUGCCA
This 77-nucleotide transfer RNA is filed under the name Candidatus Wolfebacteria bacterium. RNAcentral's name for it is "tRNA-Glu". It matches the Rfam family "tRNA". Rfam says of the family: Transfer RNA (tRNA) molecules are approximately 80 nucleotides in length. Lineage: Bacteria; Candidatus Wolfeibacteriota. The record is from RNAcentral.